Long non-coding RNA from Centropristis striata (black sea bass), 521 nucleotides. RefSeq lists it as uncharacterized. The transcript is spliced from 3 exons. The record is from RefSeq and is a predicted model, not a curated record. NCBI's taxonomy places the organism in Eukaryota, Metazoa, Chordata, Actinopteri, Perciformes, Serranidae.
CUUGGCAGACUUCCCAGCAGCGCAGCCUCCUGGGGCUGAUUCAGCCAAUGUUCCCACCCAGGAAUCCUGGACGUCUGACAGGAAACAAGCCCAACUCUCCCAAGGCCAGUGGAGAUUUAAUGACUUCCUGCGGCCUCUAUGAGACACCAGGCUCUUCCUCUGGAAUAGACUUCAUCUCAGCCACAAGUGAGCAUCAUCACAAACCGUCACGGGACAGCAUGCCAUGCGGAGGAGAGAGGGGAAGGUGCUGGCGACAAAACAAAGAGCUUCACAAUGGAAAAUGAUAGCAUCAACACAGGCUGACACACAGGGGCAGAAAGCUGCCCUGAUUGCUUCUGCUGAGCGCCGGCUGAUAAGAUGAUGAAUUGAUGGAGGCCCUCCAUUUCUCCUCAUGGUCCAGCAUAAGAAAACAACUCCAGACUCCUCUGGCAAACACACAUCCAUUAAACACAGCUCUGUUGUUGGAGAAAAACAUGGUUGCCUGGUGAGGGAACAUUGUUGUGUCCACACAGCCUACUGUU